This 460-nucleotide ribosomal RNA is filed under the name uncultured bacterium. RNAcentral describes it as "partial 16S ribosomal RNA". It matches the Rfam family "Bacterial small subunit ribosomal RNA", at positions 338 to 795 of the family's 1533-position model. The record is from RNAcentral.
CCUACGGGAGGCAGCAGUGAGGAAUAUUGGUCAAUGGACGAUAGUCUGAACCAGCCAAGUAGCGUGAAGGAUGACUGCCCUAUGGGUUGUAAACUUCUUUUAUAUGGGAAUAAAAUGUUCCACGUGUGGGAUUUUGUAUGUACCAUAUGAAUAAGGAUCGGCUAACUCCGUGCCAGCAGCCGCGGUAAUACGGAGGAUCCGAGCGUUAUCCGGAUUUAUUGGGUUUAAAGGGAGCGUAGGUGGAUGGUUAAGUCAGUUGUGAAAGUUUGCGGCUCAACCGUAAAAUUGCAGUUGAAACUGGCAGUCUUGAGUACAGUAGAGGUAGGCGGAAUUCGUGGUGUAGCGGUGAAAUGCGUAGAUAUCACGAAGAACUCCGAUUGCGAAGGCAGCUCACUGGACUGCAACUGACACUGAGGCUCGAAAGUGUGGGUAGCAAACAGGAUUAGAUACCCGAGUAGUC